CCUACGGGAGGCAGCAGUGGGGGAUAUUGCACAAUGGGGGGAACCCUGAUGCAGCGACGCCGCGUGGGUGAAGGAGCGUUUCGGCGCGUAAAGCCCUAUUGGCAGGGAAGAAGAUGACGGUACCUGACCAAGAAGCCCCGGCUAACUACGUGCCAGCAGCCGCGGUUAUACGGAGGGGGCAAGCGUUAUCCGGAUUUACUGGGGGUAAAGGGGGCGCAGACGGCAAUGUAAGCCAGGAGGGAAAGCCUGGGGCCCAACCCCGGGACUGCUCUUGGAACUGCGUGGCUGGAGUACAGGAGGGGCAGGCGGAAUUCCUAGUGUAGCGGUGAAAUGCGUAGAUAUUAGGAGGAACACCGGUGGCGAAGGCGGCCUGCUGGACUGUUACUGACGUUGAGGCCCGAAGGCGUGGGGAGCAAACAGGAUUAGAUACCCCGGUAGUC
RNAcentral lists this ribosomal RNA (440 nucleotides) under uncultured bacterium. RNAcentral's name for it is "partial 16S ribosomal RNA". It matches the Rfam family "Bacterial small subunit ribosomal RNA", at positions 338 to 795 of the family's 1533-position model. The record is from RNAcentral.